CAGCAGCCGCGGGAAUACAGAGGAUGCAAGCGUUAUCCGGAAUGAUUGGGCGUAAAGCGUCUGUAGGUGGCUUUUCAAGUCCGCCGUCAAAUCCCAGGGCUCAACCCUGGACAGGCGGUGGGAACUACCAAGCUGGAGUACGGUAGGGGCAGAGGGAGUUUCCGGUGGAGCGGUGAAAUGCGUUGAGAUGUGGAGGAACACCGAUGGCGAAGGCAGCCCCCUGGGCCAAUACUGACGCUCAUGCACGAAAGCGUGGGGAGCAAACAGGAUUAGAUACCCGCGUAGUCCCUGUCUCUUAUAC
This 301-nucleotide ribosomal RNA is filed under the name uncultured bacterium. RNAcentral's name for it is "partial 16S ribosomal RNA". It matches the Rfam family "Bacterial small subunit ribosomal RNA", at positions 509 to 807 of the family's 1533-position model. The record is from RNAcentral.